UCCGGCUUAUCACCGGCAGUCCCACUAGAGUGCCCAACUAAAUGAUGGCAACUGAAGGCGAGGGUUGCGCUCGUUGCGGGACUUAACCCAGCAUCUCACGACACGAGCUGAUGACAGCCAUGCAGCACCUGUCACUCUGCCCCUUGCGGGGAAAGCCCAAUUUCUCGGACCGUCAGAGGAUGUCAAGGCCUGGUAAGGUUCUGCGCGUUGCGUCGAAUUAAACCACAUGCUCCACCGCUUGUGCGGGCCCCCGUCAAUUCCUUUGAGUUUUAAUCUUGCGACCGUACUCCCCAGGCGGGGUGCUUAAUGCGUUUGCUGCGCCACCGAAGAGCAAGCUCCCCGACGGCUAGCACCCAUAGUUUACGGCGUGGACUAC
This 376-nucleotide unclassified non-coding RNA is filed under the name uncultured Alphaproteobacteria bacterium. Its description in RNAcentral is "contains 16S-23S intergenic spacer region". Lineage: Bacteria; Pseudomonadati; Pseudomonadota; Alphaproteobacteria. The record is from RNAcentral.